GGAGAUCUCACAGAGAGGCAGAAGGAGGCAGUGCUGAAGGUAAAGCAGUGUGGUGUGGACUUAGAGAAGCGAGCAGGAGCAGCCAUUGGGACUGCGUUAACAUGCAUUCUAAUCGCUUUCUCGUUAAGCCGCGGAAGGGAGGGGUGACUAAUGAGUCUCGCCGGAAAAAAAAAUGCCUCUGGUUGACGGGGAUGGAAUCGCGUACCGUAAAAUUUACCUGCGAACAACAAUACCCGAUGACUUCUCGCUCAUAAGGAGGCCGGCUAAAUACGGCGGCGAUCCCUUCCGAAGGGAAUUCUUAAUGAGAAAACAUCAAACUGAGAGCAGGUCCAGUGCAUUUGAUAGUCUUGAGGAUAAUUAAGGUCUACUUUGAAGAUUUUGGUGCAUGAUCUUUCCGUAAACCCCAACUGUGUGCCAGUGGAUCAUGGUGGAACAUUCAAAAAUGGGAUAUUUAAUCGUUGGAGGUGUAUCAGUUCCUCAACAUUGGAGUACAGACACUUUCAACUUUCUACUGACUGUUUUGCCACCUUUUGGAAAAAAGUCUGGAUAAUAAACAGAAGAGCUGCUGGUCCUAUAAUGGAGAACAAUGGAUGAAGCCAAGGCUGUUUAGAAAAUCAGGCCUGUCUUGCCACUCAGUCAAAAAACACACCAGGGGGGAUCAGGCACAAGAGCCCAAGGGAGGCCUGUAUUGAUCCAGACCAAAGUGUAUUUCCCCAGCACUGUGGUUUGUGUUCAACUGAUGUGCUCAGGGCUGCUUGAGGAUCAGGCCUGGUCUGCAGGCCAUAACAAAAGGAAUUGAUGCAGGAUGUCAGACCACUGAUCACCUAUCAGCACCACAAUCUAAAUCCAAGAGAAUGAAGCCCUGUAUUCUACUUGUGUUGAAUACCUUUGUGUAAUGGAAAUGUAUACUUUAACACACAAAUUCAAGGCGUACAGCUCUGCGUACAGCUUGGUUGCCAACUAGCAUCUGAAACUUGGAUCUAAAAUAGACCAAGUUGUUCCAAACCCAUAUGACAUCCUAGAAGGGUUUUCUAGCAGAAGGUCCAAACUGCUUUUCUCCAGUCAAUGAAAGUGAAUGAAAAGUGUUAGGCCUGGUCCCCAUCCAGUUUUAUUGUAUAGAAGAAAGAGCUUGGAUGUUUUGCUAAAUACCUCCUUUUCAGUUUAUACAGGUACCUUUAAGUGGUUACACAGACAAACCACAGGUUAUUCGCAAAUUUAUGUUACUCAAGACUUGAUUCAUUGCAGUAGGUGGUACGUUAGGGAAAAUGAGGUGUGCUGUGGCUCAGAAUACCAAAACACUUUAUUUAUACACAUCUAAACAUUCAUAUCUGAAAUUUAGACUCAAAUUUAUGUUUUGGGUAUCAUCCACUGACAUCUUUCAAUGAUAGAUGUGCUACAGCAAAUAAAAUAUAUUAUUGUGCAAUUUUA
Long non-coding RNA from Carassius gibelio (silver crucian carp), 1428 nucleotides. RefSeq lists it as uncharacterized. The record is from RefSeq and is a predicted model, not a curated record. The transcript is spliced from 2 exons. Lineage: Eukaryota; Metazoa; Chordata; Actinopteri; Cypriniformes; Cyprinidae.